UCCAUGCAAGUCGAGGGGCAUCGGGGAGUUAGCUUGCUAACUUUGCCGGCGACCGGCGCACGGGUGAGUAACGCGUAUCCAACCUUCCCCUUAGUAGGGCAUAGCCCGGCGAAAGUCGGAUUAAUACCCUAUGUUCUUCGUCGAGGACAUCUGAAGUGAAGCAAAGACUUGUCGCUAAGGGAUGGGGAUGCGUCUGAUUAGGUAGUAGGCGGGGUAACGGCCCACCUAGCCGACGAUCAGUAGGGGUUCUGAGAGGAAGGUCCCCCACAUUGGAACUGAGACACGGUCCAAACUCCUACGGGAGGCAGCAGUGAGGAAUAUUGGUCAAUGGACGUAAGUCUGAACCAGCCAAGUAGCGUGCAGGAUGACGGCCCUAUGGGUUGUAAACUGCUUUUAUGCGGGGAUAAAGUGAGGGACGUGUCCCUUUUUGUAGGUACCGCAUGAAUAAGGACCGGCUAAUUCCGUGCCAGCAGCCGCGGUAAUACGGAAGGUCCGGGCGUUAUCCGGAUUUAUUGGGUUUAAAGGGAGCGCAGGCUGAUUGCUAAGCGUGACGUGAAAUGUAGCCGCUCAACGGCUGAACUGCGUCGCGAACUGGUGGUCUUGAGUGAGUACGACGUCAGCGGAAUUCGUGGUGUAGCGGUGAAAUGCUUAGAUAUCACGAAGAACCCCGAUUGCGAAGGCAGCUGACGAGUCCUUUACUGACGCUAAAGCUCGAAGGUGCGGGUAUCGAACAGGAUUAGAUACCCUGGUAGUCCGCACGGUAAACGAUGGAUGCCCGCUGUUGGCGAUACAAUGUCAGCGGCCAAGCGAAAGCGUUAAGCAUCCCACCUGGGGAGUACGCCGGCAACGGUGAAACUCAAAGGAAUUGACGGGGGCCCGCACAAGCGGAGGAACAUGUGGUUUAAUUCGAUGAUACGCGAGGAACCUUACCCGGGCUUGAACUGCAGCAGACGAUUCAGAGAUGAUGAGGUCCUUCGGGACUGCUGUGAGGUGCUGCAUGAUGUCGUCAGCUCGUGCGUGAGUGUCGGCUAGUGCAUACGAGCGCAACCCUUUUCUCAGUGCAUCAGGCGAUGCUGGCACUCUGAGAACCUGCACGUAGGUUGAGAGGUGGGAUGACGUCAAUCAGACGUCUACGUCGGGCUACAACGGUUACAAUGGGAUUCAGAGAGGUCGAGGGCCGCACGCACUCUCAUCUGAAGCUCUCAGUCGAAUGGUAUCGACGACUGAACGUAUCUGUAUCGCAUCACCAUGCGUGGAUAGUAUAUUUCGCU
This 1271-nucleotide ribosomal RNA is filed under the name uncultured rumen bacterium. RNAcentral describes it as "bacterial SSU rRNA". It matches the Rfam family "Bacterial small subunit ribosomal RNA", at positions 52 to 1336 of the family's 1533-position model. The record is from RNAcentral.